RNAcentral lists this ribosomal RNA (300 nucleotides) under Triticum aestivum (bread wheat). RNAcentral's name for it is "partial small subunit ribosomal RNA". The record is from RNAcentral. Lineage: Eukaryota; Viridiplantae; Streptophyta; Magnoliopsida; Poales; Poaceae.
AUGACUGUGCGUCGUAAUAUCAUCACACAACUUCAACUUCUUCGCAUCAAGGUGAGAAACAACAGAGGCACAUCCAAAAGGUUCAUCGGAAUGACGGCAUCGAAAGGACAAGUCACGACCCAACUCCUCUCACAAGCAUUGUUGUUGCCAAACAAAUUGCAACGCCACCAUGUGGAAAAAUCACCAUCCAUGGAUCUCUUUGAUAGGCCAGCUCCAAAGACGAAGCCUCCAAUGAGAGGAACGGCGCAAGACGCGUCACCAUAUUCCGGUCUAGGAGCCUGGAUCCGAGGUUUUGCAUAG